RNAcentral lists this ribosomal RNA (484 nucleotides) under uncultured bacterium. RNAcentral describes it as "partial 16S ribosomal RNA". It matches the Rfam family "Bacterial small subunit ribosomal RNA", at positions 30 to 507 of the family's 1533-position model. The record is from RNAcentral.
AUUGAACGCUGGCGGCAGGCCUAACACAUGCAAGUCGAGCGGAUGAAGGGAGCUUGCUCCUGGAUUCAGCGGCGGACGGGUGAGUAAUGCCUAGGAAUCUGCCUGGUAGUGGGGGAUAACGUCCUGAAACGGGCGCUAAUACCGCAUACGUCCUGAGGGAGAAAUUGGGGGAUCUUCGGACCUCACGCUAUCAGAUGAGCCUAGGUCGGAUUAGCUAGUUGGUGGGGUAAAGGCCUUCCAAGGCGACGAUCCGUAACUGGUCUGAGAGGAUGAUCAGUCACACUGGAACUGAGACACGGUCCAGACUCCGACGGGAGGCAGCAGUGGGGAAUAUUGGACGAUGGGCGAAAGCCUGAUCCAGCCAUGCCGCGUGUGGGAAGAAGGUCUUCGGAUUGUAAAGCACUUUAAGUUGGGAGGAAGGGCAGUAAGUUAAUACCUUGCUGUUUUGACGUUACCAACAGAAUAAGCACCGGCUAACUUCGUG